Molecule: non-coding RNA, 73 nt
Organism: Henosepilachna vigintioctopunctata
Lineage: Eukaryota; Metazoa; Arthropoda; Insecta; Coleoptera; Coccinellidae
Source: the annotation of a GenBank genome assembly
GUUUCCGUAGCUUAGUCGGUAGAACUAACGACUUUGGCGCGGUAGAACUCGGGUUCGAGCCCCGCUGAAGGCA